RNAcentral lists this ribosomal RNA (306 nucleotides) under Triticum aestivum (bread wheat). RNAcentral's name for it is "partial small subunit ribosomal RNA". The record is from RNAcentral. Lineage: Eukaryota; Viridiplantae; Streptophyta; Magnoliopsida; Poales; Poaceae.
AUGACACUGUACAACCACUUCACACACUCCAAAAAUGUUAAGUGCUUGAUAUCUGAAGAAGCAAAGAGUACUAAAGUUUUGGCAUAUAUUACUGCCCUUAAGAAAUUAUGCAACCAUCCGAAGAACUUAUUAUGCCCACGACCACUGCCAUGGACUUUGUGGCCGGCCUGCUUAUCCUUGAUGUGGCUACAAUGCGCGAACCAGUGUUCGACUUUGAACGCCGACAUGGACGGCGGCCUCAAGUGCUACACCAUCUUCUUGAUAUGUGGAGAGGCUUUUUGCACUGCAGUUCAAGACAUAUUGUAG